Molecule: long non-coding RNA, 412 nt
Filed under: Gossypium barbadense (sea-island cotton)
Lineage: Eukaryota; Viridiplantae; Streptophyta; Magnoliopsida; Malvales; Malvaceae
Description: long non-coding RNA (GBAR_LNC013032)
Source: RNAcentral
UGUCCCCUUACAAAUCGGUCCUAGGCCUUAUAUAGCCAAAAAUACAAGUGGCUAAUUCACUAUUGUUUAAUCACUCUUCGUGUUGCUCUGCCUUUCUGUUUCUCAGUUACUGUUCCCUUUUCUACUUUUGUUUCUCUUCUUGGCUUCCUUUUGCAGGUGUAUAACGGGUCAACUGGUUGUGGGUGGUCAUUUUGGUGCAACGGGGGCGAGAAGAGCCGCACUUCGGGCGUUGGAUGCGCCGACGACGUACAUGGGGAGGGUACGGUGCUAGUGGGGGGCUGAAGUGACCUGAUACGGUGCCUAGGGUCCUCCCUCCAUUCAUUGCUGGAAAAUAUUUUGUGGGCUAGGGUUUUAGUUUUAGGUUUGGGCUUAGUUGGGUUUGGUUUUGGGUCUUUGUAAUGGGUUUGGUUUG